RNAcentral lists this ribosomal RNA (490 nucleotides) under uncultured bacterium. RNAcentral describes it as "partial 16S ribosomal RNA". It matches the Rfam family "Bacterial small subunit ribosomal RNA", at positions 28 to 507 of the family's 1533-position model. The record is from RNAcentral.
GAUGAACGCUAGCUACAGGCUUAACACAUGCAAGUCGCGGGGCAGCAUGGGGGUUGCUUGCAAUCCCCGAUGGCGACCGGCGCACGGGUGAGUAACGCGUAUUCAACCUGCCCUUCACCACGGGAUAACCCGGCGAAAGUCGGACUAAUACCGUAUGUUGUCCAUUGACGGCAUCCGAUUUGGACGAAAGGCUUGGCGGUGAGGGAUGGGGAUGCGUCCGAUUAGCCAGACGGCGGGGUAACGGCCCACCGUGGCUACGGUCGGUAGGGGUUCUGAGAGGAAGGUCCCCCACACUGGAACUGAGACACGGUCCAGACUCCUACGGGAGGCAGCAGUGAGGAAUAUUGGUCAAUGGGCGUAAGCCUGAACCAGCCAAGUAGCGUGCAGGAUGACGGCCCUAUGGGUUGUAAACUGCUUUUAUGCGGGGAUAAAGUGGCCCACGUGUGGGCUUUUGCAGGUACCGCAUGAAUAAGGACCGGCUAAUUCCGUG